UGAUCAUGGCUAAGAUUGAACGCGGCGGCAGGCCUAACACAUGCAAGUCGAACGGUAGCACAGAGAGCUUGCUCUCGGGUGACGAGUGGCGGACGGGUGAGUAAUGUCUGGGAAACUGCCUGAUGGAGGGGGAUAACUACUGGAAACGGUAGCUAAUACCGCAUAACGUCGCAAGACCAAAGAGGGGGACCUUCGGGCCUCUUGCCAUCAGAUGUGCCCAGAUGGGAUUAGCUAGUAGGUGGGGUAACGGCUCACCUAGGCGACGAUCCCUAGCUGGUCUGAGAGGAUGACCAGCCACACUGGAACUGAGACACGGUCCAGACUCCUACGGGAGGCAGCAGUGGGGAAUAUUGCACAAUGGGCGCAAGCCUGAUGCAGCCAUGCCGCGUGUAUGAAGAAGGCCUUCGGGUUGUAAAGUACUUUCAGCGGGGAGGAAGGUGUUGUGGUUAA
RNAcentral lists this ribosomal RNA (450 nucleotides) under uncultured bacterium. RNAcentral describes it as "bacterial SSU rRNA". It matches the Rfam family "Bacterial small subunit ribosomal RNA", at positions 14 to 463 of the family's 1533-position model. The record is from RNAcentral.